Molecule: ribosomal RNA, 904 nt
Filed under: human gut metagenome
Description: bacterial SSU rRNA
Rfam family: Bacterial small subunit ribosomal RNA
Source: RNAcentral
GGCUGAACCCUGAACGGCCUCUAAUACCGGUUGAGCUAGAGGGUACUUCCGGUAGGCGGAAAGUAGGUUGUAACGGCGACAGGCUUAGAGAUCAUACAGACACCCGAUUGCGAAGGCAGCUUACCCAACCUAUAUCAGACGUUGAGGCACGCAAGCAUGGGAAGCAAACAGGAUUAGAUACCCUGGUAGUCCACGCAGUAAACGAUGAUAACUCGUUGUAGGCGAUACACAGUCGGUGACUAAGCGACAGCGACAAGUAAUCCACCUGGGGAGUACGGUUCGCAAGAAUGAAACUCAAAGGAAUGCAACGGGGGCCCGCACAAGCGGAGGAACAUGUGGUAUAAUUCGAUGAUACGCGAGGAACCUUACCCGGGCUUGAAAGUUAGCGACGAUUCAUGCAAGAGGAUUUCCCUUCGGGGCGUGUAACUAGGUGCUGCAUGGUCGUCGUCAGCUCGUACCAUGAGGUGUCGGGUUAAGUCCCAUAACGAGCGCAACCCCUACCGUUAGUCGCCAUCAGGUGAAGCUGGGCACUCAGGCGGGACAGCCGGUGUAAGCCGAGAGGAAGGUGGGGACGACGUCAAAUCAGCACGGCCCUUACGUCCGGGGCUACACACGUGUUACAAUGGUAGGUACAGAGGGCAGCUACCCAGCGAUGGGAUGCGAAUCUCGCAAGCCUAUCUCAGUUCGGAAUGGAGGCUGAAACCCGCCUCCAUGAAGUUGGAUUCGCUAGUAAUCGCGCAUCAGCCAUGGCGCGGUGAAUACGUUCCCGGGCUUUGUACACACCGCCCGUCAAGCCAUGGGAGCCGGGGGUGCCUGAAGUUCGUGACCGCAAGGAGCGACCUAGGGCAAAACUGGUGACUGGGGCUAAGUCGUAACAAGGUAGCCGUACCGGAAGGUGCGGCUG